Lotus japonicus is the source of this 1259-nucleotide RNA transcript. It is a transcript of the gene named probable ribosome-binding factor A, chloroplastic, with no coding region annotated. The record is from RefSeq and is a predicted model, not a curated record. The transcript is spliced from 4 exons. NCBI's taxonomy places the organism in Eukaryota, Viridiplantae, Streptophyta, Magnoliopsida, Fabales, Fabaceae.
UAUCUAAUCUCCUCUCUGGUUCGAAGGAUAGAGUACAGCAAUGACGACACACCUGCUUCACCUGCCGCUCAUACCACCGCCAUCACCGUCACCUUGGCGGCGUCACCACCACACAUCCGCCGCAACCACCACAAUUACUCCGCCGCGGACCGGGUGGGUCCAGCUACAGUCACAGUUAGGCAAGGCGGUUAUUGGUUCGACAAGGAGGAGCAUAAGGUGCAUGGCGAAUCCUCGGAGAGUGAAAAUGGUGGCGAAGCAAAUACAGAGGGAGCUUUCUGACAUGCUCCUCACCGAUAAAGUCUUGCAGUUCGCCGUUCUUCCUGAAGCUUCCUUAGGAGCUGACCGUUACCUCUCUUCCCUCACCACCAUCACCGACGUCCAAGUCUCCGCCGAUUUGCAGGUUGUUAAGGUGUAUGUAUCUGUUUUUGGAGAUGAAAGAGGGAAGGAAGUAGCCAUUGCUGGGUUGAAAUCAAAUGCUAAGUAUGUUCGAAGUGAGUUGGGGAAGCGUAUUAAGCUGCGAUUAACCCCUGAGGUUCGCUUUAUGGAGGACGAGUCUUUUGAAAGAGGAAGCAGGGUGAUUGCAAUAUUAGAUAAGAUAAAAAAUGAAAAGGGCUCUGAGGGUCAAACUAAGGAGCAGUUGGAUUCAUCAGCCCAAGAAGAUGACGACGACAGUUGGGGUGGUGAAGACCCUGAUGAAGGUAUAAUUUAUGUGGAGUAGCUGCCUCCCAGUGCUUCAGCAUUGUGCGUGCUAGAUAUGGAGAGAUCUCUCAGUUUUGGAAAACACUUCAUUGAAACACUUAUCUGGAAUUAUGCUGUUCUUGCUAGUAAGUGAUGAGAUUAUCUGUGCUUGAAGCUUGGCUUUGCAAUGUCAACAGAUUUGUUUGGUCUACACGGGACCAAUAUCUUGGCUCUCCCCUUAAGUGGUGUUAACACAGGAUGGUAGUAUCCAAGAGAACAAGAGUAUAUACUUCCUUUUCCUUGCUGUAAUUUAUUCCUGUAACGGAAUUCAUAAUGCUUAGCUUUUUGGAUCUCAGUAUCCCAGUUGAGCUCUUAUCACUUUUCAUUAGUAUGUUUAAAUCAGGUGUGUGAUACUGGCAUGUUGCAAAAAUGCCUUUGCACGUAUUUCUUUUCAUUCCAUUCCUCUAGUGCAAAAGAAUUUAAGUUGCUUGUAUACAUACUGGGUUGCAAUUGUAGAGAAAGCUAUAGUCAUGGAAAGUAUCUUAGUACAUGAUACAAGUUCAUUGGUAAUGAUUUUUGAA